Molecule: ribosomal RNA, 240 nt
Filed under: Triticum aestivum (bread wheat)
Lineage: Eukaryota; Viridiplantae; Streptophyta; Magnoliopsida; Poales; Poaceae
Description: partial small subunit ribosomal RNA
Source: RNAcentral
AUGCAAGAGCUGGGACUGAGGGAAGAGGAUUUGGAUGAUGUGAUCUUCGACGAGCAAACUGCGCUGCCGGAGGGACCGAGAUGGACAGCCCUAGCUAGGGUUGACACCACAAAGACCUACAGCCAGACUUGGUUUUACAGAAACAUGAGAGCAGCGUGGGAUAUCGCACAAGAGGCUAGGUUCAAACCUCUCGAGGAAAACCUGUACCUGAUCCAGUUCACUUGCCUUGGUGAUUGGGAG